UACGUAGGGACCGAGCGUUGUCCGGAAUUAUUGGGCGUAAAGAGCGCGUAGGCGGCCACUUAAGUCCUGCGUGAAAUCUUGCGGCUCAACCGCAAGCGGUCGUGGGAAACUGGGUGGCUAGAGUGCGGGAGAGGAGAGUGGAAUUCCUGGUGUAGCGGUGGAAUGCGCAGAUAUCAGGAAGAACACCGGUGGCGAAGGCGGGUCUCUGGGCCGAUACUGACGCUGAGGCACGAAGGCCAGGGGAGCAAACGGG
Molecule: ribosomal RNA, 253 nt
Filed under: uncultured bacterium
Lineage: Bacteria
Description: partial 16S ribosomal RNA
Rfam family: Bacterial small subunit ribosomal RNA
Source: RNAcentral